This 1896-nucleotide ribosomal RNA is filed under the name uncultured eukaryote. RNAcentral's name for it is "partial Bacterial large subunit ribosomal RNA". It matches the Rfam family "Bacterial large subunit ribosomal RNA", at positions 26 to 1964 of the family's 2925-position model. The record is from RNAcentral.
GGAUGCCUUGGCAGUUAGAGGCGAUGAAGGACGUGUAAGUCUGCGAAAAGCUGUGGUGAGCCGACAAAAUGCAUUUGAACCACAGAUGUCCGAAUGGGGAAACCCACCUAUUUAUAGGUAUCGUUACAUGAAUAUAUAGUGUAACGAGGCGAACGAGGGGAACUGAAACAUCUAAGUACCCUUAGGAAAAGAAAUCAACCGAGAUUCCCCUAGUAGCGGCGAGCGAACGGGGAUUAGCCCUUAAGCAAUUAUGAACGUAGUGGAAGCCUCUGGGAAGUGGCGCGAUACAAGGUGAUAGCCCUGUACACGAAGUGUUUGUUUUUGUGAAAUCGAGUAGGUCGGGACACGUGUUAUCUUGACUGAAUAUGGGGGGACCAUCCUCCAAGGCUAAAUACUCCUAACUGACCGAUAGUGAACCAGUACCGUGAGGGAAAGGCGAAAAGAACCCCUGUGAGGGGAGUGAAAUAGAUCCUGAAACCGUAUGCGUACAAGCAGUCGGAGCGGACUUGUUCCGUGACGGCGUACCUUUUGUAUAAUGGGUCAGCGACUUAUGUUCAGUGGCGAGGUUAACCGUUUAGGGGAGCCGUAGGGAAACCGAGUCUGAAUAGGGCGAUUUAGUCGCUGGGCAUAGACCCGAAACCGGGCGAUCUAUCCAUGAGCAGGUUGAAGGUUGAGUAACAUCAACUGGAGGACCGAACCCACUAACGUUGAAAAGUUAGGGGAUGACUUGUGGCUGGGGGUGAAAGGCCAAUCAAACCGGGAGAUAGCUGGUUCUCCCCGAAAUCUAUUUAGGUAGAGCCUCGGACGAAUUCCAUUGGGGGUAGAGCACUGUUAAGGCUAGGGGGUCAUCCCGACUUACCAACCCUUUGCAAACUCCGAAUACCAAUGAGAACUAUCCGGGAGACACACGGCGGGUGCUAACGUCCGUCGUGAAGAGGGAAACAACCCAGACCGCCAGCUAAGGUCCCAAAAUAUUGCUAAGUGGGAAACGAUGUGGGAAGGCUCAGACAGCUAGGAGGUUGGCUUAGAAGCAGCCACCCUUUAAAGAAAGCGUAAUAGCUCACUAGUCGAGUCGGCCUGCGCGGAAGAUGUAACGGGGCUAAGCAAUAUACCGAAGCUGCGGAUACGUGUUUACACGUAUGGUAGGGGAGCGUUGUGUAAGUGGAUGAAGGUGGAUUGAGAAGUCUGCUGGACAUAUCACAAGUGCGAAUGCUGACAUGAGUAACGAUAAUGGGAGUGAAAAACUCCCACGCCGGAAGACCAAGGUUUCCUGUCCCAUGCUAAUCAGGGCAGGGUAAGUCGGCCCCUAAGGCGAGGCAGAAAUGCGUAGUCGAUGGGAAACGGAUUAAUAUUUCCGUACCUUGGAUAGCUGCGAUGGAGAGACGGAGAAGGCUAGGUGAGCCGGGCGACGGUUGUCCCGGUUUAAGCAUGUAGGCAGUGGGAUUAGGCAAAUCCGGUCCCACAAUGCCGAGACGCGACGACGACUGCCCUUUUAGGGCGGGAAGUCAUUGAUGCCCUGCUUCCAGGAAAAUCUUCUAAGCUUCAGGCUAUUCGAGACCGUACCCCAAACCGACACAGGUGGUCAGGUAGAGAAUACCAAGGCGCUUGAGAGAACUCGGGUAAAGGAACUAGGCAAAAUGGUGCCGUAACUUCGGGAGAAGGCACGCCGGUGGUAUGUGACGCCCUUCGCGGGUUGAGCAGAAGCCGGUCGAAGAUACCAGGCCCCUGCGACUGUUUAUUAAAAACACAGCACUCUGCUAACUCGCAAGAGGACGUAUAGGGUGUGACACCUGCCCGGUGCCGGAAGGUUAAUUGAUGGGGUUAUCUUCGGAGAAGCUCUUGAUCGAAGCCCCGGUAAACGGCGGCCGUAACAAUAACGGUCCUAAGGUAGCGAAA